UUGAACGCUGGCGGCAGGCCUAACACAUGCAAGUCGAGCGGAUGAAGGGAGCUUGCUCCUGGAUUCAGCGGCGGACGGGUGAGUAAUGCCUAGGAAUCUGCCUGGUAGUGGGGGAUAACGUCCGGAAACGGGCGCUAAUACCGCAUACGUCCUGAGGGAGAAAGUGGGGGAUCUUCGGACCUCACGCUAUCAGAUGAGCCUAGGUCGGAUUAGCUAGUUGGUGGGGUAAAGGCCUACCAAGGCGACGAUCCGUAACUGGUCUGAGAGGAUGAUCAGUCACACUGGAACUGAGACACGGUCCAGACUCCUACGGGAAGCAGCAGUGGGGAAUAUUGGACAAUGGGCGAAAGCCUGAUCCAGCCAUGCCGCGUGUGUGAAGAAGGUCUUCGGAUUGUAAAGCACUUUAAGUUGGGAGGAAGGGCAGUAAGUUAAUACCUUGCUGUUUUGACGUUACCAACAGAAUAAGCACCGGCUAACUUCGUG
This 483-nucleotide ribosomal RNA is filed under the name uncultured bacterium. RNAcentral's name for it is "partial 16S ribosomal RNA". It matches the Rfam family "Bacterial small subunit ribosomal RNA", at positions 30 to 507 of the family's 1533-position model. The record is from RNAcentral.